Molecule: small nuclear RNA, 107 nt
Organism: Cercocebus atys (sooty mangabey)
Lineage: Eukaryota; Metazoa; Chordata; Mammalia; Primates; Cercopithecidae
Source: Ensembl
GUGCUCGCUUCAGCAGCACAUAUAUUAAAAUUGGAACGAUACACAGAAGAUUAGCAAGGCCCUUGCACAAGAAUGACACGCAAAGUCGUGAAGCGUUCCAUAUUUUU